RNAcentral lists this ribosomal RNA (19 nucleotides) under Serjania cristobaliae. RNAcentral describes it as "Cardiospermum cristobaliae partial 26S ribosomal RNA". The record is from RNAcentral. Lineage: Eukaryota; Viridiplantae; Streptophyta; Magnoliopsida; Sapindales; Sapindaceae.
UCGCAUAUCGACCGCGACC